GUCAAUUUUUUCAAAAUUAGGUGUUAAAUUGGACAUGAACUAAGUAAUUAGUUGGUGUUCCACUUCGUGGCCAACACCAAGUAUUGUAAUCGUCGGAUUUUCCGACCACCUCAGAUCGGGCUCAAACUUAGUAUGAGCACGUUUCAGACAACCCACAUUCCAAAAAUUGUGGUGGAAAAUUUUUGAUCCGGCCGGCCUGCCGGCCGGCCUGCCGGCCUGCCGGCCUUCCGGUGGUCCAAACUUUGCCUUAUAACUCGAGAACAGUAACAGAUAGAGACUUUCUGUUUGAAGUUUUCUAUAGAAAUGUGGGUGUAAAAUUUCAUUUUUUCGCAUUUUCAAAAUCCAAGAUGGCCGCCGUCCGCCAUUUUGAAAUACCGUCAACCACUUCCCUUAUAGCUAGAGGUCUGAAAUUUUAUUAUGUUGUAGAGCUCAGUGAGAUGUUUUCAUCAACAAUUCAUACUUGACAAUCGGUCAAGCGGUUUAGCAAAUAUGGCGGCCUAAAGCAAAAAGUGUUUUUUCGAUAUAACUCGAGAACGGCUUGACCGAUUUUGACCAUCUUGGUAUCAAAUGAAAGGUAUUGAGAAGCCCUACAACUCUUUAGAACAUUUCAAGUUUCAAGAACAUCCGCAAGAGGCACUAAAAUCAAAAACAAAAAUUGCCUAACUUUAAGGGGCAAUAUCUCCGAACAUCUGUUAUAGAUUUCCUUUAAAUUUUGAUAUGUUGUAGCCGGACUCAAUAUCUUUCUUCAGUCCGAAAAUGAAGAAAUUCUAUGUCGCCGUUUAGAAGAUAUGGCAAUUUAAAAAAAUCAUGAAUUUAAAAAGUUGUAAGAGCCAUAUCUCCUGAACUGCUUGACCGAUUUUGCUCAUCUUGGUAUCAAAUUAAAGGUUCUGCGAUUCUCUACAACUUUCUAGAACAAUAAAAUUCUCUAGAACCAUUCCUUCAGGACAAAAAAUGCGAAAUACUGUUUUGGUAAAACAAAAAGCCGCCAUUUUGUGUUCUGGAUAUGACCUUGAAAAGUAUCAAAAUUUAUCCCAUAUUCUAGCUUAUUUUAAGACCUUUCCAUAACUAGUCAAGAAAUGUCUGUAGGUGUUAUAGAACUUGAGAUAUGACCAUUUUUAUGCAUCAAAUUACUGAAUUUCACAAAAAAAAAUCAACUUUGCCUACUGAUAAUGCUUACAAAUCGUAUUAUAACGCAUAAAUUAACUUCUACACGUUGUGGGACACCAACUCUUAUAACUGGACGCGUUAUGAUUGACUUUUCUGUAGGUAUCCUUUGUCUGAAUUUUUAUAAAAAAAACUUUAUUGAAAUUUUGGAAUGGCAUUUUUUUUAAUUAAUUCUCUUUUAAAAUUCAUCAUUUUCUGACCUGAUGAAAACAUUCUGAAUUGACGAAAAUUUAUAUAAAUCAUUCAAAAUAUCUCUUUAAUAUUUUUUAAGGUCAAAAUGUUUUUAAAUCUGAUUUUUCAGUGUUUGAUAAAAGUUUAAAAAAAUAUUCUCUUAAUUUCAUUUACUAAUAACUUCACAAGCUUUUUUCUGAGCUUUUUUGUGAUAUUUAAGAGCUUAAAAUAAUGUUUUUCUUAUAUAAAAUCAUGAUUUUUGGAGAUUAUUUGUAGUCUUUAAUACUUUUAAGUUAAAAUUAAAUUAAAAUAAGUUAAUUAAAAAAAAAUAAUUGGAAAAUAUCGUCAUGAAAUAACUCAUUGCCAAAAUUAAAUUGAUGUUUCUUUAUGUAUUAAAAAUUCUGUUAAAACAAACUCUACAUACUUUGAACUAAAUUCCGGAGAUAUUUAUCUCCUUCAUCAGGCCCAAAUUCCUUGGAAAAUUCCUAUCCCUUCAUCAAAAAUCAUUUAAAAUUGACAAAUCCAACAAUUUGAGCGACAAUAUCUCAUUGGAAGAAGGAAUUCCUCUCUCUCAAUGGAUAUUAAAGCUAAUUUUAGGGGCAAAGAAAAUAUUUCUAUGCUGUAUGAAAAUCCAUUUUUAAACCUCAAGUUCAUUGCUCUUGCGGGAUGCUGUAUAAAUGAGGAAUUUCCCUCGCUGCAACUUAAAUAAAACACUAUACAAUACCGAAAAAAAAAUCAUUCUCCGUAUGGUUUAACGCCCAAUACACACAGUGGUGGCUUCUCUAUAAUGUAAAAGUAAACAGAUAUAAAUUCUCUUCUGGGAUUCUCGUGCAUGAACUUCUUUUCUUUUUUUUCUCCACCAUAUACAACACAUUUUAUCCUUCAUUCAUCUCUUCUAAAUGUACGGCAAAUUUGUUGACAACAAGUCACGAGAUUUCGUGACACGAGACUUCACGGUAUGGUUGUUUUUGGAUGGGGGUGAGAGGGGUGGAUCGGAACGAGUGGAGGAGAUGUGCGAAAUGUAGUAUAUAGAAAGGAUCGCGAUGAGGCUAUAAAUAAUACGCGAUUGUGGAGAAAAAUCGCGUAAAAUGGGUGUUGUCUGUACUUUUCUCUCUCUCUCUCUCUCUCUCUCGCGUCUCUCUUGUGUGGAUAUGUUGGAACGCGCGCGCGGUUUUGUACGCGAAGCAUAAUGUAUAUAGCGUGCUAUAUACAUAUGUAGCGAAGUAAAAAGUAUGAGAGGGGCUCUUUUUCGUAUUGGAUUCCCGUGUGUUGUAUGUGGCUGUGAGUAAAGCGACUUUGCUCUUGGUUUUAGUUGCAUGUGAGGCUUCGUUGGAAGUGGAUUGAUUUUUCACAAAGCUCCCAUUUUCUUGUCUUCUCAUUCAUGGGAAUGUCUUUGCGGUGCUUUUUUUUCUUUCAAUGUUGGACUCUUUCAUUUGGUGACACACAAGGUGAAGAAAGAGUGGUUUAAUGUGCAAAAAAAAUCCUAAUAAAACUCCGGGUUUUAAUUUAAAAACAUUCGCACUCAAGCGAGCCAUAAACUUAUACACCGCAUAUUUUGCGCAAUGACUCAAUGUGCUGGAUUUAAUUAUUUUUCAACUUGAAACAUUUUGUUUUUUAAAAGAGAAUAUUAAAAUCUCUGUGGAAAUGUGCCUUUUUCUCGUGUGCCUUCUUUUGCCUAAAUGGUAAAUUGCUGUGUGGAAGACGUGUAAUGUAAAAGAGUUUAAAGUAGACAAUUUUCGCGAGACCAACAGUGUGAUGUUGAUUUAAAUUAAGAGAACCUCUGUGGAUUUUUUUGCAAAGAAAAAAGAGAAGAUGAAUCAUCGAAUUACAUAGUUGUGUGUCUUAUUGAAUGUGAUGUUUCUACAUGCGGCAGAUGAAGAUAUGCUGCCCUGAAGAGACUUCCACAGUAACUGCAGCACAUCAUAAGGAACGGAGUGAUGUUGUGUUAAAAAUAAUUUCCAAAAGGAAUUUCCUUUAAAUUAUUCUUCACAGCGUGUUCCCUCUUGAAGAUUAAUCCUCACUAAGCGUGUGUGUUUGUGUGGAUGUUUAUCCAGAGGCAUUUCCCAAAAACGAAUUUAGAUUUUGAGAAAAGUCCCAACUUGACGAACAUUCUCUUCUUUUCAUCUUUGAAAAUAUAUGUGCGGAAACUUUGUCAGGAAGAAGUGAAUGUUACAAACAAAAUUGUGGUGUUCAAUGAAAAUUUAUUUUUAACCAUCUCACAACGCUUUUCUCAAGCUCUUGAUUUGAUUUUCUUCUCAAAAGUGAAAAGAUCGAAUGAUUAACAAAGUGUGAUACCUCUUUGACAAUUUAUCAAUUUCUUUAAACGAUCCGUCCAAGAUUUACAAAGGAAAAAGUUUUCUUUCCUUCUUCAAAAGAAGACCUAAAAGGUACGAAAAGAAAAAAAAACUUUAAAACGAAACAAUCAAGAAGAACCUUUUCUCACGUGCCGUGGCAAUUAAAUGCAAUUUUAUUGCGGAUAGUUUUUUGAGUGUUUUAUCACGUUUUUUUGCCUUAAUCGCGCGAGAGGAGAUUUUUAGUUGAAAGAAAAUUACUUUAAGUGUUUUCGGUAGAUAUCACCCCGUAAGCUGUGCAAAAGUAUACGAAUCAUCAUUAUUUUCACAUUGAUACAACACCACUUCUUUAACAACAAAGUAAAGAAAUUGGAAAUUUUAUUUCACUCAUCAUCCUUCCGUGGAAGCCAGUAGUUUUUUUAACCUUUUACGAGGUAAGAGAAGUUCAAACUAAACAAUGAUAUUUUUGCCAUUUCUUCUUUUUCCAUUUUAAAUGAUAAAUCACAACAAAAAGCAAUUUAUUGUUGGUAAUUGAUUCAUUGGUUGUAUAUCCCAAAUUGGCCCCUAGAGACACUUUAACGGGGAAAAGCGAGAAAAUUAUUAUGUGGCUUUUAGAGUGAGAGAAAUGGGUUUUUGACCAAAUUUAGUUGGUUGUUUUCCAAAAGAAAAAAAAAUCUCUUAAGCUGUUUUGCUGUUCACAAUAGAUGGCAAAAAUGGAGAUAUAUAAUAAUUUAAGAUGAAUGAUUGGUGAAUGUGAGAAGGAAUGGGAUUUUAUGGUGUGUCGCGCAAAGUUCAUGGUGGAAAAAGCAAAAAUAGCAAAAGAGCGCGAGAGAGAGAGGCAAACACAAUAGUUAUGAUAAAUUAUCAAUCGACAAAUCUACCCUAAUAAGGCAAUAAGCAAUUAUAUGGAAGAAAAAGAAUCGAGACAUCGGCGAUGGGAGCGAAAAGAUAGAAAAGUAGUGGAAAAGAUGGAGUAAAUUGUUUAUGCGGAACUCAAGAAGUUCUUGCUCACUGUACGUAAUUGGUAUCAAAAAGGGGAAACAUGUGGUUUGGGUACUUGGAUGCAACAAUAUAAUAUCAUAUAUUGGAGUUGCAUAAGAUAGGUGGAAUCUCUCUUAGUUGAUCUCCAACCGUUGUUGGGUGUUUUUAAAGCUCUAGAAGCAAGCUUGUUGCAAUUUAUUCACUUAUACGUUCCACUUCAAAUGAAUUGACGUUGGAUGUCAAUUGGAAAGGCAUAGCUCUACCUAGAUAUUUCUCCACUGAUAAAUUCCAUGAUAGACUUGGACGUGGUCGGUCUAGAGGGAAAAUUAUUCGUUGUUGUACAGAGAGUGAUGAAAAUACUUCUUGAUGGAGGGUAAAAUUAAGUCAGGUUUAGUCCAUUUCUUAGGCUAGGUCUAGUUGUUCUGAAAACUUUACAUUUUAAGCCUGAACUCAAGUUUUUUAGGGUUAGGCUUUUAAGGUUUAAAAGUAAGAAUUUAAGAAGGUCCUAAUUCUUCUUAUUCUAACCUUAAAAAAUUAAGUUCUGCCUAAAAAACUUAAGACUGGUUCAGAGAACUUCGGCCUAAUACAAAAAAUUAAAGAUAGUUUCUGGAAAACUUAAGUCUAAUAUAUUUUUUUUUAGAUCUGACUUAAUAAAUUUAAUAGCUAGCUUAAAAAACUAAGCCUAACUUUAAAAAUUCAGGCCUAGCUUACAAAACUAAGCCUAACUUUAAAAACUCUGGCCUAGGUUAAAAACUGAAGCUUGGUUUAAAAAAACUUACGUUCAGUAUAAAAAUCUUAGGUCUAACUUAAUAAAUCUUAGACCUAACUUUAAAAAAAAUUAAGCCUAACUUUAAAAACUCUGACCUAGGUUAAAAAACUAAAACCUGAUUUAAGAAAACUUACGCCUGACCUAAUGUGCCUAGGCCGGACUAAAAAAUAUAUAUUUCCGAAUUUUUCAAAUAUAGUUUUUGAUUAUUAAAUUGGUUAAAAUAAUCCAUUUUUUAAUAUCCAAAAAAAUCAAUAAAAAUUUUUUAGCUCCUCAUCGUUUUUCUUUUAUUUCAAGAAUUUUCCAUUUGAAAGUUUUCUGAAUUCCAACAAACCCUUAAGUUUCCAUUGAAGAAUACCAAAGUUUCUUAGCUUGUCGUUGCAUGGAAAAAUGAAGACUUCAUGUCAAAGGAGGGCAGAUGCUGAACUCGGUCUUUUUAAUUAUUUUUUUUCUUCUUUCUACACACCACAAGAGAGAAUUAUUUAAUACUUCUUACAAUGUUGCAAAAAAAAAAAGCACGAGCGAAUUUCUUUGUAUUGCCAUCAUGUGGUUCUACUUUUCUUCUUGGAGGUUUUUUGCAGUGAAGGAAAGAAAAUAAAAGAAAUCAACAAAACCAGAAUGUAUUGGUUAUAAGAAUUGAGGGGACAGAGUUGGUAUUUUGCUGUGGCAUUCGAAACGUGGGACUUGUUGCAAUUGCUUGGGACUUCUUAGGCUUUCUUCUUAUGGUUCUAUUCAAUAAAUUUUCAUCUCUCUUGCACUCAAGUUGGGAUGAAGAGAGUGUUGUGGCUUUGUGAUUUAAUUUAUAUGCUCCAUCAAGAAACAUUGAGAAUAAUUCACAUGGCACCGCAUAGAAUUCAAAAUUGCUCCAUUGAGGAUGUGUUGAAGUGUGUGCAAGAUUGGAUCGUCGAAUGAUGGAGAAAUGGUCGUCAAAAACAUUUCUCUUGUGCCAUCUUUUGCUUGAUGAUCUUAAUUUUUCCCGCAUAUGCAAUUGAAGCUAAUCGUUGCGUGAAUUGUGUGAGUGAUCUCUGGAAAAUAUCUCUAAAUCUGUCGUCGAGUUGAUCUUGAGAGUACGCGCGGUUUGGUACGCUGAGUUCAGUCAGCACAAGAGAGGCGAUCUGACGUACAUGCCGGGCUUUUUGUGUGGUGUGUGUCCCAUGGGUGGAGAUAAUGAAUGAUCUCAGCGGGUGAUGACAAUGACCUGAAUAGAAAAAAAAGAGCGCGUCACAAUUUACAAAACAUUUACGAUGAGCCAAAUGAAUUAUUUCAUUUGCUAAAAUAGAGACAUUCAUCUCUCCUACCAACUCGUUGAUGGACUUCCUUCUCGAGAGAAUAAUUUUGAAGAAUUGCAUAAAAUUGCUUUUCAACAACAUUCUUUUAUAUUGUUUUUUAUUCAACUCAAUUGGAAGAAUAAUAAUACCUGUCUGUGAAAGAAAUUCUCUCUCAUAAAUUCUUCCUGGAAUUAUGCAGAAGUUCCCCUUGAUAUAUGGCUUUCUUUUUCUGUAUGUUUUCUCUAUGGUAAUUGUCUGUGCGUUCUUCCGCGGAUGCGUUAUUCUUUCUUGUACGUACAACGAUUGAUAAAUUCUGAUAUGUCUCUGUGGUUGAAAAAAAAACCCGAGCUUGAUGGGGGGUUAGGUGAACCAUGACCAAGCACCAAUUUUGCUCUGGCAAAGGACAGCCGGAUGGGUAUGGAAAGGAGGGCAAAAAAAGAACCAACAAGCGGUGUGUAACCUGCAAAAUGGCCAGGUGCAUUAGGUGAGGCAAUGGCGCACGCGCUGGGUUGAAAAAGAAAACGUAAAGUCCUUGGGCAAUGAACCAAGCUGUGCGAUCUUUUAAAAAUUGGCUUAGAUAUGUGGCUGUGAACGCGGGAAAAAGACAAUAAAUGUCGAGUUUGUCUGGGGGGAUUUUUUAUGAGAAGGAGUUUAUACAUUUUGUCGUUUGGUUUUGAGAGAAACGUAGCAAAUAUCUAGAAUUAUAAAAAAGAUCGUAAAAUGUUUAAAAAGAGCUUAAUAGACUUUUUAUCAUGCCUUGAGGAUAGAUGAGACAGUAUGUUAAAAGAUUUGAAUUAAAAUUCACAAGACACGCCCCUAUUGCAACUAGUUUUGUGUUCUAUGCUCAAUGCAUAUGCUUCAGCGCCCUAUUGGUCAUUUUUUUUUUAAAUAUUUGAGUACAAAAUUAAGGCUGUCUAAAGAUCGAUAGAAGAUGAAUAGAAAAUUAAAAGAAAUUGUAAAAUGAAUCAGAGAAGCAUAUGCUUUACGAUUUACGCUUUAUGCAUUUCUAGACAUAUAUUUUGCAAGAUUUUCAGUUGAUCCCAAAUUGUUAGUUCUGUUUGAAUAUUUUACGAUUUACUGCAACCUUUUCCGCAUCUGGCUUGAAACUUUCAAAUAAAGGCAAUGAAAGUCUUAAAAAUGCAUAAACCCCUUUGAAUACCCUACAAAGGUUAAUGCCCCUAAUUCCAAUCUUCUGCUGCACAAAUAUUAAAUGCGAAUUUGCAAAGAACGUCUAUUAAGUGAUUUCUUUUUGAGUAGUGGUCUCGCCUCGAGUGCACCAAGUUUUCUGCUUCUUUUGCCAAUCUUUCUUUUUGGCCAAAAAGGUAAACCUGAAUUUGAGUCAUUUUGCCCUUCGUUGUCCUUCAUUCCUUUUCGUCUUUUGUCUUAAAACCUUCUGUUCCAGUCUGGAAGAUUGUGUGUAUGUGUUUAGGAGGAAACUUUGAAGUGGAUCACAUGAGCAAACACCAAACUGGUUCUCUUCCACUUGCAUUUUGGCUCCUUUCUUGAGUGUCUUGAGAGAAAAUCAGACACUAUCUUUCGUUGGCAAAGACGUACAUAUUGGGGAAGGUGAGAUGGAAACCCAAAAUGGCCAAGAGGUGAAACUUGGCAGAAGAUUCCACCAAUUUCAUUGAAAGAGAAAAAUAUCCGCGAUGUACUUUGCGUAUAAUACCUACACACAAAAAAGUGAGCCAACGAGCAAUUUAUUCAACAUGCUUUUUCUGCCACCUUUCGCAAAAUUUUUCAUCAACAGCUGCUUCGUCAAAGAGAUGGCGGAUUUUUUUUCUUAUUUUCUCUCUCACUUUAACAGCGUCCACCGCCAAAUUUCUGCUGCUGUGCGUGGAAAAUGACAAAAAUAACCAUUAAAAAGAAGUCUUAUAAACUUCCUUCUGCGUGUGUCGUGUCGGUUUAACACGAUCAAGACUCUUUUUUUCGCGAUCUUUUGUCCGCGAAGAUCAUCAAUUAAUUUUGGUGGGAGCUUUUUUUUUUGCACCGCGUGCAGAUCUUCCAAUGAUGAGCUUUUACCUGCGAAGUAAAAAAAGAGUCAUUUAUCAUCUUUCAGCCAUGUUCGGGGUGUAUUAUUUCCAAAUUAUUUUAUUUUCGCUCCGUGGACUUUUCAUGUGUCUUCCUACAUUGUUUUCGCGUGAUUUUUUUGUUGCUUAUUUGGUCUCUUUCAGUCUGCCGUGCCGCACGAUUGUACGAUUUUUGGGUGAGACAGUUUGUUCCAUAAGAAGGAGCUCUUAUGUUUUUAUUUUAUAUUUAUUCUUUAAGAGAUUCUUUUUAUUCAUUAUGGGUUUAAAAAAGAUACUUAAAGACUUAAAAAAUAAUUUUAAAAACUUUUUGAAAAAUCUGUGCAAGUUUCUCCAAAAAGCAGAACGUCGCUGGAAUGCAAAAGAGCGACUUUUUGGUUUUUUUCAAAGCUUUCAAAUUUUUCUUUUUGAAUCUUCUUGCAUUUAGCUGUGAAAGAGACUGCAAAUUAUAAAUAAAAUCUUACGUAUUAGAGAGGAGGGGGCUAUAUAAUUGCUACAUAAACGCAAAACUCUCACGAAUCGCCGAAAUCUCUGUGAGUGAACAUCUUAAAGAGAUCUAUAUGUAGUGUUUAAUAUUUUCUUGCAUGACCUUGCGUUUCGGUACUUCUCUUUUUUUCCCCUUAAUGUUAAAAGCUUUAUACCUGCCAACAAUUCAACGAUGAGAGAUUUUGCGUAAUUUUUUUAAAUUUGGGAUCUCCGCUUUAUUCUUUUCGUGCUUCUUUUUUGCUGCUAAAGUCCAAUCUUCUACACCAUCUUGCGAUUGAAGAGAUGCUAUAUCAAAAAAUCCCAUGUGGUGCCAGAGAAGACGAGAAAAAAAAGUAAUAUUUGUAAGGAGGAGGAAGAAAAAAAGAGGAGAUAAUUGAGAGUCGAAGCCAGUAGUCAAUCAACAUUACUCAGAAAUGGACAAAGUAGUGCACAAUUUGCAUAUUUCAUCGAUCAAUUGAGUGUCUCGUGUUACGCAUAUUAAGUAGAGCUUUGGCAGAAGUUGAAGAUCAUGGGAGAAUUGGAAGAAGAAAGCGCACGGAAAGGCAACAAGAGAAAAAAAAAUUGCGAGUUCUCGAUCACAAUGCGGAGGACAAUUACAUAAUGAAAUUAUAUUGCAUACGAUCCGCUCAAUCAUCGCGCAGAGAAUCAAUGAGAAUUUUAUGCAUGAUUUGGGUUGAAUGAUGUUUGUGGGUCUUUCACCUGCUCUGGUGGCAGCUUUCGUCUUUCGCGCUGCGCGCCAGAUGAUUGUGGCUCCGAAAAGGCCACAAAACGUACCUUCUUAUGUGCAUUGAGGCAGAGAUAAAUUGCAGCAAAUUGACUGCUAUAUGGAUCCAACAUAGAGUUGCAAUGAAGAGAAGUUUUUCAAUUCAAUUUGGUUUGAACUCCUGAUCACGCGCUAUAUGUAGUUUGAAGAAAAGCACAGAAUUUGCGUAUCUGUAUAAAUUUGAUUGAAAUCAACAUACACGGAAAUGCAAGAGAGAAGGUUAUGGAGAUCAUGAAAAUAAAUUGAACGACUCCAUGAAGCUACCACAACCGUGUGCUUUUUAGAAUAAAUCCGUAUGUACCGCCAAUUGGGAAACUUCACAUAUAAUAUGGGUCUCUGGUAUAUUCAAAUGCCAAAGAAAUGGUGAAAAAGCUUCAAGAUGGAGUGAGAUGAAUUUUAGAUUGCAAGUAAUCACGAAAUUUUCUUCACAACAAACGGCAAUUAGGCUGUUCAAAAAGUUUCCUGUUCAAUGAUGUCCGUUUGAAGCCAAUACAGGCUUGUUGUGGAAUUCUUAGUUAUUGUCAUAAUCCGAUUAAAGCAGAUAAAAAGCCUAAAGUUAGGAACAAACGUAAGAAUACAGUUUGGCUUGAAUUUCUAGGCGUUUUUUCGUAGGCACCUAGAAUUAGAGUUUUUUGGACUUAGAGUUUGAUGGCACUAUAAUAAACUCUGGCCUGUCUCAUUUUAAGGCUUUGCGUUCUCGGAAUAAAAGGCCUGAUUUGGAAUCAGGCGCUAAGUCCCAAAAUCGUUAACUUUGUUAAUUGGUUAGUUAUCCAGUUUAGCUCAAAUUGGAAAACUGCUCUAAUCAAAAAUAGGAAGACAAAAAGAACCAUUGAAAGUGUCAAUUAGGACUAGAAAACUCAGAGUUUUCCAUAAUUUUCCUUGAAAUAUUUAUACUUAAAGUAUCUUCUAAACUUAAUUAAUGUCGUCUAACAUUCUUAAAGAACAUUGCAAAGAAUAUUCAAUAAUUCUUCAUCAAAUAUUUUGAUCAAUUUUACUGAGAAAAUCAAUUUGAAGACUUUUUGAACAGACCUAACAAUGAAAACCAAGAACUUCUUGAGAAAUCACCGUCUGUAUUUUCCUCGUCGUCGGUUCAUUUGAAUAUACGACAAAACCGAAUGAGUGAAAAGUGAAUAAAAUUCACCUGAAAUGGUAAAAAUUGCUUCUAUGCAAAAAGCUCAGUGGAGUCUUCGUUAGUGGACACAGCAUGAACAUUGUUGCCUCUGUGGUUGGAAGAGAGACCUCUUGCAUGUCAGCUGAUUUUACAAUUGGAUUUUCUGUCGCACCAAAUGACGCAAUUACACAACAUUUCUGUAUUAUAAUGAUUCGUGAAGUGGAUUUUCCUUUUUGAGUGUCAUCAACAAUAUCAAACAUAAUACAAAAGACUCUUGAGAGAGGUUUUUUAUUCAACUCUAUAAAGACAAAACCCCAAUCUUAUGGACGAGAUUUAACGAUUUAUGUACUCUUUGGUGAGGUAAAAAUGAGGUGAAGAAGAUGGUGAAAGAGUGUUGUGUGUGAGGAAGGAGUGGGUUUCUUUCAAUUAUUUUUCCCUCCUUCGGUUAGGUUAACACUCUUUCACAACAAAAACCCUCCUUUAAUCGAUUCUUUCAAUGUUUUGCUACAUCUUAGUGCUAAAGCUUUUUUUUUUCUCUCCAUCUUUCUUUCCUCCCUAUUUUAUGCUACUUAAAGUAAAAUGCAGAAAGAAGGAGGAAAACCCACACAAAAUACACUCUUCAACCUCAUUUUAAAUGAUUUUCUGAUUUUACCGCUCUUGCGUACAAGUCUCAAUGACUUCGUUUCGGCGGGGGUAAUUAGAAGUUUUGUGAAUGAAGAGGAAGUUUCUUCAGAAAGAAGUAGAAGAAAAAAAACUUAAGUGGUGCAACUUUUCCUCUCUUAAUUUCUAAUGACGAAGAAAGAGUCAAUUAGGAAAAAUAGUGCGGUGUGUGUACAUAAAAUGAGAGCGGUUUUUUUUUCGCUUAAAAGUUUCAAAACUUCGCGUAAACAACGUACAAUUAAACAAGUAAAUUUGUUUGCAACGAAAAACCAAUUAACCUUGAUUAAAAAGGAAGGAACUCUGACUUGGCAUUUUCUAAUUCAUUCCGGGCGCGACUGUAUGAGCAAGUGAUUGGUAUCACAAUGUUUAGGAAAAGGUGGUUUCUGCUAUAUAUUAAGAGAACUGUCUUAGCUAUGGUGUGGCUCUCAAAUUGCACAGAUAUAUUGGUUCAAAAAGGGCGUUAAUGUUUUGCACUGAAAAAUUAACUAAUGCGAUAAUUAAGUAUGGAAAGCAAAAAUAAGGAGGGAGUUUUGGAAUUUUGAAAUGUUGCCUUUUCCUUCCUCUUUUAUCUCUCUGUAUGCCUCCUCUGUCUGUUUUAGUUACUCUCACUCCAAUUUUAUCACAUUAAAAUGUCUUUUCCAUGUCUUUUUUGGUGGCAAAGAAGGGAAGAGUGGUGACUGUCGGGGCAAUAUGCAAUGAGGUCAAGAGAUAAAGCUUAAGAGGUUCUCCAACAACUCAAUUUCUUACAAUUUUAUAUACUUGACUCUAUAAAUACUUGGAAGCUUUUUGGCUUUGAAAACAACUCCAAAGAAGAAAAAAGUUGUUGAGGUUGAUGGAGAAGGAAACCUGAGGUAAUUGAUUCUUUUGUUAUUCAGUGGAUAGUCUUCGUAAAAAGGAAACCUCAUUAAUUGAUUGCUUAUCCAAGCUUGGGUACCAUGGUGGAGGUGUUAAGUGCCCGUUGGGUCUCGCGGUGACCUUUCAAGCAGGCACAGUGUGAUUGAGGAAAAGUUGUACACUUUAGGCCUCAACUAAUCAGUUUUAUUUACGUUCCUUGUGUCCCCCUGUUGUAAUUGGACUGAAUGACGCCAUUCAAUUUGUUAUGCGCCCCAGAGUUGAAAUGCUAGCCGAGAAGGCUAAUAGAUUAAUUUAGGAAUUUGAAUUUUUAACAGUUUUUAUUAAAAUCAAGGGGUACAAAUUGUUAUUCAAGCUACGGGGAUUUUGAAAUAGUUAGUUUUAUUAAAUUUCCGAAGAAUUUCUAGCGAUUUAUGUUCAACCCUGGCAGUUUGUUACGAUUAAUUAACCCCGAGAAGAAUUUUAAAAUCUUUUAUUAUAUCAUCGAAAGUUUUAUAGAGUAGAUUUAAGAACUGCAAUAAAAUUCAUUCUUCAUGAAACUCAAUGUUAUAAAAUAACGAUUAUGUAUUGCUUAACCCCGAUAAUUUUCUAGCAGUUAAUUUAAGUUCCGAGAAGUUUUACUCUUCAUUAAUUCUUUGAUGGCUUCAAUUUAUCAUUCAGAACUUUCAAAGGGAAUAAAUUUAAAGUUUAAGAUUUUUCUAGCAGUUAAGUUUAACCUAGAAAAGUUUUGAAAUCAGAUUUACUGCAAUAAAAUAUGAUAAAAUUAAAUCAAACCAUCAUAACAAUUCUAAAGAAUCACAGCUAAUAGCUUUAGUUUUAUGCUCUGAACUUAUGGCAAUUUUCAAGCGUUUUAACCUUUAGAAUUUUCUAGUAGUUUUUUUCUAAGCAUAAUGGGCUUUCUAGCAGUUUUUCUUAAAAUUUUAAUUAAAUUUUUGUUUAAUGAUAACAAUUUUAAAAUGAAUGGAAAUUAAUCUGCAAGAAAAUUCUAGCACUUUAUGUUUGAUUUUAAAGCUUUUCCUAAAGCUCUAACCCCGUAAAAUAUUUAAUCUUCAUCUUUAACGUAAGUUAAUUAGUACAAAGGUCACACUCGGUGGUUCCCAAAAAUUAUCAUUUAAACCAUGUGGUGCAACAUUUCCCUCACCAAAAUUAUGUAAACAAAAAUACAAACCAUUUGGUCAAAGCUUAUCUACAUAUUUUGUGUCCCAGAUUAGACUAUUAUCUUAUCUGGAAAAACAUUGUGGUUUGUUUUUAAUGCAACUCUGGUUGGUCAAUGGUGCGACUAUAUGUAUGUAGUAUCUGAAGAGUGUCGAUUAGACAGAAAAGCUUUUGAAGGGACGGAGGGAGUGUGAAUGGAUUGAGAGUCGGAUGUGGAGUGUCGGUCGAUCAAGUUUAAUGAACUUUAUUGUGUAAAUUGUGUGCGGUUAAAUGGAAAAACGACGAAAAGUGUGCUAGAAAUGUUAACUCAACUUCUUUUAUUUUUCUUCUCAACAACUCGUCAAGUUUUACAGUCAGUGGCUAUUUUCACACAAGGUUCGUUCCUUUUUUAUUUUUGCUUUAACCGCCAACAAACCUUCAGUACACGAUGAGGCCAAAAAUGAUGGCAUGGAAUCGAUGAGCGGACGUGAAAUUUUCACGCAGAGAUUUUAUACAAAAUGAAGAGAAAAAAAGUUCAUGAGAAGAAAUUAAUUUGGGAUGUUCUAUUGCGGGAGAGAUGGUGGAUUAAGAGCAAAAAAAAAAUAACAGAAGAAUUCCACGUAUCAAAUAGACAAAUUUGCCGGUGCUGAAGGUACCACAUCAAGGGGAAGAGGAGUGAACCUUUCUGAAGAAUCGUGAGAUGUUGAGGCGGGAAGUUUGAAAGAAGUUCCAAUGAAGAAUGCUCGGUGUGCAAUUAAAGCAAAACGAAAAUGAGGAGAGAUGCGCAGAGACUUGGUGGUGAAAUGGUGAAAAAUGAGGCAAUGAAUUUAUACAAUUUGGCCUGUUCAAAAUUGAUUUCUUCAUUGCCAAAGAGUGUUCUCAAUUUGGUGAGAAAGAUUCUUUUUUUUUUUUUGCUUUCGAGGUCGCCUCACCUUUUGUGCGGCACGACAUACACGUGUAUUGCCUACAAUUGCUCUCACCUCAUGUAGAUGAUGAUUGUUAUCGCAGCUCCGGAGAAUUUCAAUUGCUCCAGAAUUCUUCUCUUCAUUAAUUGCGAGAUUACUUUUUUCCAUGGUGUGUAUUUUUUUACAUUCAUUUUAACUGCUUUCUUGGUUGUUUAUUGCGUUAGAUGUUGGGCGGAGAGAAAAUUAGGUGUUUUACCUUUACGCAGCGUGGUCUUUCACCUCUGACGAUGACGUCUUCUUUCUCUCCCUGGAUGGGAAAUUCUGAAAUUUCUCUUUUUAUCGUGCACUGAAUGACUAAUCAGAAAAAUUCUGCUUCGGCGGGUUUUUUUUUAUUUCCUCGCCAAGUAAUCUUGAAACGCCCCAACAGAAGCAUCGAGUUGAUUGAAAAUCAAUGAAAGUACAAGCUAAAUUCACCUUCUCUUGUUUACCAUGUGUUCAUUCUUUUUUUAUUUCCCCCGUGAUUAAUUAUAUCAAAUAACCUCCGGGAAAUACUAAAGGGUCGUCUCUACAACGUAGUCUUAUUUUUUUUCUACAUUAUUCAGCAUGUCCUCAAAUCUCCAUUCGUAUUUGGUGGCAUAAAAGAGAUUUGUUUGUGAAAAGGAAAAGAAAAUAGUACGGCGUGAAUGUGAAAACAGACAACCAGAAAAGGAAAUUCCUCUAUUACAAGAAUAUUUAGUGAUGCAUUAAAGUGAUGAAGUUUUUUCUUUGGUUGUCAAUCAUUAGAAGAGACAUUUUCACUCAAUAUGUGGAAUAGGGUGUGGCAAUUGAAAUGCAAUUUAAUUAAUUUAAUUAAAUAAAAUGCUUCUCUUUUACUUUCUGGUGUGCAUUGAAUUAGUUGGUAUUUUAAUGAUUUUAAUUGAUAAAAGUUAGUCUGAUAAAUUGCACGAUAGGAGGCACUUUAUAGAUGAUUUUUGUGAAAUCAAUCUUGAUGUGGUAUUUAGGUUUAAGGCGGAGAAGCUCUAGCUUUGGCUUUGUACUUCAAUCUCUUCUCAAAUAUUUCAAAUUAUCGAUAAACUGCCAAGAGAAAAUAAUAAUAAGGGAACUCACUUUAAAAGCGUAAGUUAAGAGACUUUGUAAGUUUUUAGCUGAUUAUUUUCUUUACGGUUUUGCUAAAUCUGUUAUUAUAGGAGUCGUACUAACGAAUGUAGGAUCCUUAGACAAUUUUUUAUGGGUUUUGUAAAGAAUUUUACACUACAUUCUCGCAUGAAGUAAAAUCGUUAAGAAAACAUAAUCUGUUUACGCUUAUCAGGUUUAGGUUCAGUAACCACUUAGGCAUUCUUUCAGCCUGUAUCCUAUUAAAAUGGUCUAGUUAGCGUAUUCUUGACAUUCGGAAUAGGGAUAUUAUAAGCGGUUUCCUCUAAAUGUCUUUCAACUCACUUACCAACGUUGAUCUGUUUACGUUUAGUCGUUUAGUCUCUAUAUGUUUACGCCUUCUCUUACAUUUCUAAGUGAGUUCCCGAGAUGAUUUUCAAAAGAUUAUUGAUAUGAAUUAGAAAUUUAAAUUUGUGAGAUUGCAUUCUCAUUGCCACACCCUGUGUCUAUUCACAUUUAGAUAGAUACGUAUAUUGAAAGAAAAGCAAUGCAGACUUCUCUAUAUAUAAUAACAAUAUUAGCAUAAUUAGAAAAUGUUGAUUAUGGAGAAAUAUCGCAUCAUUGAUGUGUUUCCAUGUUGCAUCUGAAAAAAUAAAUCUCAUAUUUUUCCCCCUUUUUGCAAUGUAUCGGCGGAUCAUCUUGUUGUGUGUAGUUAAAUUAAAUUGAGAUUUUAUCAAGGUUUAUACGCGCGUAAAGCCAAAGUUGGUAACUUCUCAUAGGGAAGGUAAAAAAAAGGAAUGUGUGUGGCAAGACUGUUAUUUGUAAAGUUAUUUGUUGGGUCUCUCUACGUCUGAAAGAUGCAAUAUUCGUACAAAAUGAUAGGUGAGUGAUUGUUGGUGGUUUGAAUUGUGGAAGAUUGAAGAUUGAACAUUGAUAAGGAAGACCUCUCUCCAUUGGCGGCAUACACAAGAAAGAUCUUUAAAAAAAACUUUUGCCCACCGACAGACCCACAUUCAAUGGGAAAAAUAAAAGAAGGUAUAAGAAGAAAAUUGAUAUUGCUUCUUGUUUUUUCUCUUGAAUCUGUGUGUCGCUAACGGGGUUUUAUGUAUUAAGACACGAAAAAAAAAUACGAAGAAUUAUUCGUGGAAGAUUAAAGGGAAUUUACCCGAAAAAGUUUAGAGAGAUGGCAGAUUGGGGACAUUUUGAAACCAAUUAGGGUUCAUCAUCUCACAAAAUGUGAAAAAGGUUGCAAACAACGCGACACCGUAUCGCGACUACAUCGAAUGUGAAUGCAAGAGGGAAAUCAAUUUCCAUUGUUCAAAAUUUACCCAACAAUCACCAAUAAAAUGUGGUGGGAAGGAUGGCAUCGAUGGAAAUUGGCCAGUUGUAUAUUCUUUUCAAUAGUUCACGUGCACUUUCCCAUCGGAAUAAUCUACACCAUCUGGAUCUCAUAGUUGACUCUCACAAAUCCUCUCUCUCUCUCGCAUCUUCUCUAAUGUUUACCCAUCAUACUAUGUAUAUGGAUAUCAAUGGUGUUUAUCUUGCACUUCCAAAAAUGCUCAUAACUGCAUUUUUUCUUCCAUGUCUUGUCUUGUGAUAAAUAUUUAAUGUUCCACUUCUACAUGUCUCUGAUUACCCUGAAAGAAAAAAAUAAAAAAAACUCACAGUGUAUGUCUGUCGCUAUGAAUUUGGAGUUCAUUUAUGGUUGGUUACCGCGAGGGCUGCUAGACUAAACUAUAUAUAGUGAGGGUGGAAAGGCAUUAAAAUUAUCCCCUUCCACACAUCAUGAUUUCCUUUCGUAUUGAUUUGUCCAUUUCCCAACACCUUUCUACCACCAAAACACAGGGGUCACGUAGCCUUCCAAAAUACACACAUUAGGCAUUUUGGUUUUGUCAACAUGCUCAUAUUAUUCUUCAACAUGAACAUAAUGCUGUCGUUUGAAUGAACAUAAAUUAUUUUGGAACGAAAAUGUUGCUUAAAAAUUACGCGGUGUUUAUACGGAGUAAUAAUUCAGAUUUAUCAGGACUUUCUGUUGUUUUGUCUUAUAUUUUGACAGUCAGCACUGAGACGGCAGUUGCCGCAAGGGGAAAUAUUCUAAAUGGUUGAAAAGAAUUGAAUUCUUUUGAAUAAUUUUCUGAUAUUUUAAUAGUAAGGAAAAAAAUGGAAAUAAAAAUUUCAAUAAUUCGAUAUUUCUAUAUCUUUUUGAGUCUACUGUUCACCUUCAUCAGGUCUUCAAAAUUUAGGAAAUAAUUUUUCUUUAACAAAAAAUAGCUUUCUUAAAGAUCAAACUCGAAGUAUUCAAGAACAAAAAACUUUUAAUUGGUAAAAAAAAAACUUUUCUCCUGUCAAUUCGAUAUCUUUUUAAAGACUUUUCAUAUCAGUAUUCUACCUUCAUCAGGUCUUUAAAAUUUAGGAAAUUAAUUUUAUUUUACAAAAAAAUAUUUCUAAGAUCAAAGCUCGAAGUUUUCAGGAACAAGAAACUUUCAAUUUCUAAAAGAAAACUUUUUCUCGUGACAAUUUAGUAUUUUUUAAGACUUUCCAAUCAGUUUUUUAUCUUCAUCAGGUCUUUAAAAAAUUGGAAAAUCAUCUUUACUUGGCAACAAGAAAUUCUAUGAUCAAAGGUUCAAAAACAAGAUUAAGAAAAAAUCAAUUCUGAUUCAUAAAAAAAUGUUUUCUUAUUCUUUUCAAGAAAUCUUCACAAAUUUUCAUGAAACUUCCACCAUACCCAGCGAGAGAGCUAUUAUAAUCCAAUAAAUCUUGUGGUGCGGGUUGUAAUGUAUUUUAGGGUGUGUUCAAUUCCUUCAAUAUGAAUAUUAAACCGAAACUUUUACAUGUCCCAAAAAUUUACCUUGCUAAAAAAAAUGUGUAACAGCUGAAGUAAAGUCAGUGGAGCAUGAAAAAUGACUUUUUUAGCGCUCUCUCAGUCUGUGAUAUGCGGUGUUAUUUUUUUUUUAACUACUCUCUACACGAUGGUAAAAUAAAAACUAAUCAUGAUGAGGAAAAAUGAGGGGAGAAUGAAAAAAAUGCGGAAAUUAUUGAAAAAUGUUUUAUGUUGCAAUACUGUGCGUGCUUUUAUUUACAAGAAGGGGCUAUAUGCUGCUGCACACACAAAAAAAGCUCCAUCAGUUUCCGCUCUAGUAUUCCGCUGCUUGUUGAAGAUCUCUUGCAUUGCACAAGAACUAAAUGCUCGUUGGCUGUUUUUUUCUCCUUUUGAUAUAAAUCUCAGUGUAUGGAGAUAAAUUCAGGUCUAUAAUUAAAAAUUGUCUGUUUUAUGUUGAAGAAGUCUUUUUUUUUCGGGUGAUUCGAGGUGUGGUGGCAGGGAAUGAUUAAGAGAAGAAAAAAAAGGAAUAAAGCUGUAAAAGAUUUGUUGGGCUAUAAAAUAGAUUUUUUGCAGUAUUUGUGGAUUUUAAUUUCCCAUAUAUUUCCCAAUAGUGGGCAGUAUGUUGGACCUUCAUGUGUGGAGGCAAUGUGCUGGAAAAUAUUCCCUGGGAAUAGAAUAAAGCAAAAAUAAUUAAGCACAGAAGGAGGUUGUCUUGGGGUAUUGAAUAUAUUGCUUAUUAAAUACUUAUAAUGUAGCGAAUAAAAUGUCAAAAUGUCGAAAUUCAUCAAAAUGCGCGAGAAUAGUGAAUAAUGGUGCUAUAUCAUCUGUGUAAAAUAAUAUUUUUUACAUCAUUCACGGAGCUUUAUAACAUUUUGAUGAUCAGAACGUGAUUCAUGUUUUCAUUAUUAAAGUUUUCAAGUAUUUGCGGCUAUAGCCGCAUUCGUAAUACACCAAAAGAGAGGAAGUCGUGAUUAAAAAAGAACAAAGAAUUACUAUUACUACUUACUAAAAAAAAACAGAGAGUCUCUCGAGUGUGGAGAAAAUGGAGAUUUUGAAGGGGAGUAAGACGUAAAGAAAAAAUUCUUGUAUAAUGAGGUCUCUGUGAGGAAAUAUAAUAAUUUUAAUCAGUCAUUUCGUAUUUUACGAGCAAAUUUGCCUCUUUCUCCAUUACUGUACCAAGAAAUUUCUCAAUUGUGUAAACAAAACAUGCAUUUAACUCGCGGUGUGUGUAGUGAAAGAGAAGUGAUCAAGUGCACUUCCAUGGAAUAUUGUGUGCUUCUUAUUAUAGUCUGUUUUGUAUUGUAUGAGGAAGUUGCACCCUUAAAAAUAAUUUAGCUGGAAACUUAUUUACUUAUUAUUGAAAGAGAUCUUUGAGUUUUUUUUAUACAGAGCGUACUAAAGUAUAUUAUUGAAUGGAAAAUUAAGAGAUUAAAAUCAAUUGAAAAGACUGAAAAAAAGGCAGGAGUUAAUCAAUGACAGAAUCACAGAAUGAAACGGUGAAAAUAAGUAAACUUAAUCAUUCAAGACAAAAGAACUUAAAAUAUAUUGUAAACUUGAGUCAAAUAAAUCAGUGAAAUGAAUUGAAUUUAAAAAAUACUAGCAGAAUCAAUUAGCUAAACAAACAGAAAUAAAACAACAAGAAGAGCAUUUCAUCUAUUGAAUCUACGAAAAAUAAUAUUUCACGAAUUUAAAAGGUUAAAAUUUGGUUAAAAAAAUCUUAUCAAAAAAAGUUCAUUUCACUUAUUCAAUCUACCAAAAAUUCAUUUUGGUAAAUGAUCAAUUAACUUUGAUUAAAAUGACCAAAUCGAAAGAUAUUUAACAUUUGGAGGACAAAACUGGUAAUCGCUGCCAAUUUGACUUUUUUAAAUCACUCGGAUGUACUCUUCACAUUCAUUAUUUUCAAUGCGCGAGAGUAGUUCAACCAAGCCGUCGUUGUACUGGGCUCCCACUGUAAUAGAAAAGUAAGCUCAAAAUUUGAUGUUAGAAAUUCGUAUCUUCCAAGUGUUAACCGAAUGCAAUAAGCGUUUUCAAAUAAAAUUCCACAUUAUUGUUUUUAAGAGUGUAUGAAAGAAAAAGGGAGCAAUGAGAAUAAUAAAAUUUAAAUCAAUUUCUUGGGCUUAAUUUUACAACAUUGUACAUAAUAUGCUAUGAAUAACUGCAUUUUCAUCUCACAGAGGGAUUAAAAGAAAUUAAUUUAAAAAAAAAAAUAUAUGUGGCUGGUAGAAGAAAAUCCCAUUUCUGUGGUUUAUUCUUCCAUCCAACGCAAUGGGUUUGUGUGAUGAUUGAAUGAAGGGAAAGAGUCGUGAACAUGCAUAAACAUUUAAGCAGAAAGACUCUUUUUUUUCCUUCAAUUAAACCCAUAUGAAAGGGAAUGAAUGUAGAGAGAUUUUUUUCUUACAUAUAUCCUGUACAAAUAAACAUAUAUAUCUUUCUUCUAUAUAUACAAAUUGCUACAUUCUUUCACAAUUUCCCCUAUGCACCACGAAUGAUGUCGUUUUGCCUUCACAUGUGGCUAAAUGUCUACCACGUUGGCCAUAUGUCCAACUAUUUUCUCCUCCAUUGACGGUGAUUUGUCAUACAAAACAAUCUGCAUUUUGCUUCUCUGAUUAAAUUAAAAGAAAAUGCAAGAUUUCGGUUUUUUCUUGCUAGAGUUAUCCCAACUAGAUUUUUGAUAGCAUAUCACAUUAAAUGCCAGGGCAUUUCCGCUCAAUGUCAGCGCGCACGAGAAAGUUUCACGCACAGGAAGCAAUAUGCAAAAGUUUAUCAAGAAAAUGAGAGAGUGAAAAUCAGAACGACAUUUUUUGUUUAAUAUACUGAAGAAACCAAGAAAUUUUAUACCAAAAAAUUAUGAUCAUAAAAUGCGAUCACGCAUUUCAAUUUCAUCUUCAUACUGAAUGACUUGAUGGGAAUGCUAAAGAGGCGGAUAUUUCAUGUCAUUUAGUGCGCUUUUAUACACGUGCAUGUGGUUUGGCUUUAAGCGUUGUUAACAAGGAAAGCCGUCCCCUUCCGAAAUGUAAAGAAAAUUCACGUGCGCAUUCACCGAAAACGCAAAAUUUCACUUUAAUCCUUGGGGCUAAAACGAAAGGAAAAAUUCAUCAAUUGAAAAUCCCCCCAAAGUUGUGUGUCCUCCUUUUCCUGACUGAGAAAAAAAAGAACACCAAAAAUAUGCAAGUUACUUUCUACAAGACGAGUGAUUGACGAUGUCGCUUUUAUUGAGACAUAAAAAAGGACGGUUAUUUCGAAAAAUUAACAUAUUAAUGAUCUUUUGGAAAAGUGAAUACAAAAAAAUCCGUGGUUUAUAUGGAUAUUGAAAUAAUUGAGGAACUCACGGUACGUUGCAGACUGUUAAAUGCACAGUGCAACUGGUGCGAGGGAUUGAAAAGUUUCAUAUCUUUUAGGGAAGUUUUCAAUUUUUUAAUUUGAAAAUUUCUUUUAUAAAAAUUUUUGGUUCAUGGAUUUAUGGGUAAAAGAUGACUUUAAAAUGUUUGAACUAAAAAAAAAAACAAUUUGAGCUGAUUUAAUUAAAAUUAGAUCUUUUUUCAAAAUGGCGUCUCAAUUUUAGGUUAUGUCUAAAAUAGGAUUUUGAAAUAAAGUAUUAAAUAAAAGUAUUAGGUUUAAUUCUUUUUUUUUUUUUUUCAAUAAUAGUUCAAUAAAGUUAAAUAUUUCAGUUUUAAUCAUUUUUUCGUUAAAAAUAAAAUUUAUUUUUGAUGUUAUGUUAAUUUUAUGUUAUCCAGAAAUUAUUACAAUUAUAUAAAAAUUAAAAUGUAAUUGGAAUAAAACUUUAAUAAAGGAACCUAAAAAAAGGAGCUAAAAUAGCCUAAUUUAAUAACUUUCAACAAAAACUUAAAUCACAAUUUUUAAUAUAAUUUUCUAAUCGUAUUUUUCGAACCAUAGCUUUGAAACUUUGCAAAAUUUCAUACCUGAAGGAAAGAACAAAGCUCAACGAAUAAAAAAUUAAAUUAAAUUCAAAAUGCAGCAAUUUAUGCUUUCUUUUUCCUUUAAAGGAAAAAACGGCUUUUAAAAUAAUUUUCAAAAAAUUCUUUCACUUUGAAACGUAAUUCCUAAAAUUGAGCAUUCAACAAAGUCGCAAACCUUCAUUUCUUUUAUUCCUUCUUUUUUACCUUUUCCGCUCGAAGGGUUACUCAUUAAGAUUUUAUUGGUAAAUUUAACUACAUGAUUUUCACACUCAACUCUAUAUGGUUAUGUCUUCAAUUUCACUCUAAAUUGGAUAAAUGAAAGUAUUUUUUUUCUUUCUUCAACUCAUAUGGAACUUGAUGUUCUUUCACGAUGGUUUUUUCUUCUUACGCACAUAUCCUGUGAAUGGUUGCAUUUUCUUUGUAUAUUUACAUGUAUUUGCCAGGUAUAAAUUAACUCUUUUCCGUGAUGCAUUUGCACCACGUCAUGCGGUGCAAAAAGGCAGUUGCAGUGCUAAAGGUAAAACAUCUCCCGUGGAGCUUUAUUAAUGGGUGGUCAUGAAAAUUACUGCAAUAUCUUUCCCAAUGUCUCAACAGAGAUGCUAAUUUCUCUCAUCAAAAUCUUCUUGCCAGUCUUCUUGUCUCUAUUGCAAUUUGAGCAAUUUAUUUGAAUAAUUUCAAUUAUUCCACAACGAUAAUUAUCUUCAAUGAGAAAAGCGCAACGUUUCCACCUUCUACGCAGAGUUUUUGAACUCUUUGAUGCUUUUGUGGUUUAUUUUGUAGCAUUGUAGCAAUGUGCAAUGUCGCACUGGUAAUUUAUCCUCAACUCACGGGCAUUUGGCUAAAAUUAUUAGUCGGUGUUGGGGAAAAAUUGUUGGGUAUCAAGGCGGUAAAUGUUGCGAUCUCUUCGCUAAACUCUUCACUAAAAAUACAAUCAGAGGUGUUGUUGAAGAAUUAGAUUUAAGUUUUAUUUGCAACAAUUGCAACAUUGCGCUUUUACCUUCUCUUAUACACAUUUUAUGGUAUUUAUUGCGGCGGAGAAGGUGAAAUUAUCAUUAUUAGUGAAAAUGAGUAUUUUGUCUUGGCGCUGUGUGUGCCUUUUUGCGAAUAGAGAUGCAAUUUAGACGAUAUAUGCAUUUUACUAUUUGAUUAUGCAAAUUGCAAAGCACUCCAGCAUCUCUUGUGAGAAGAAAAGUUUUUUUUUUCAUACGUUAAGAGAAAAUGCAAGUGAUCUUGUCUUUGGAAUUGUUUUCGCGGAACAAUUUGAAGGAGGAAGAAGGUGAGUUUUUUUGUGGUGUGAGUAAAUUGGUAAACAACAUUGAAAAUCAAGAGUAAUUUCCACCGAAAGAGAGGGCUUUUUCACUUAUUGCCGAGAUACUUUUCAAAUGGUGUUUACGCUGGAGGACAAGCGAAAGUUUUCUUGCGAUGGUUGUGGUUUUUUUUCGGUUGUGCGCAAAAUUCUUCACUCAUUAUGUUGUUUUGUCGGAAUAAUCCAGGAAAUGAUCUAUUUUGCAAGGUGGCUCCACUCAUUUUCUUCGUAUUUUAUUACAUUCACUCCAAUUUUCCCAGCAAUUCUCUCAAAUUUCUUACCAAUUUCGUUGAAAUGUCUAAGAGCCGGGUAUUAUUUGUUAUUUAAAAAAUACAGUACGUUCCAUUUGCUUAGCAAGACCAGAAAUUUUAUUAGAGCUCGAUGAAAUGUAAAAGAAGAAGAAGAAUGCGAAGAGCCCUGAUUGGCUCAGAUGAAUCAAAGAAGUGUUCUCAUUGGUUCUUGUUAUUUAUUGUAUCACCGUUCUCGUGGAAUCUCACUGCAAAGUCAAUUUGAAUUAAAAAAUGAAUAAUUUCUUAUUAAAAAAAAAUAAUUCAAUGAAUCUUUCUCGUUAGGCAAGACGAAAGAUUUUAUUAGAGCUCCAUGAAAUGUAAUUGAAGAAGAAGAAGAAUGCGAAGAGCCUUGAUAGGCUCAGAUGAAUCAAAGAAGUGUUCUAAUUGGUUCUUGUCCUUUAUUACGUCACCGUCCUCGUGGAAUCUCACUGCAAAGUCAAUUUGAAUUAAAAAAUGAAUAAUUUCUUAUUAAAAAAAAAUAAUUGAAUGAAUUUUUCUCGUCAGGCAAGACGAGAGAUUUUAUUAGAGCUCCAUGAAAUGUAAUUGAAGAAGAAGAAGAAUGUCGAGAGCUCUGAUUGGCUGAGAAGAAUCAAAGAAGCAUUUUUAUUGGUUCUUGUCCAUUAUUAUGUCAUCGUCCUCGUGGAAUCUCACUGCAAAGUCAAUUUGAAUUAAAAAAUGAAUAAUUUCUUAUUAAAAAAAAAUAAUUCAAUGAAUCUUUCUCGUUAGGCAAGACGAGAGAUUUUAUUAGAGCUCCAUGAAAUGUAAAUGAAGAAGAAGAAUGCGAAGAACUCUGAUUUGCUGAGAAAAUCAAAGAAGCGCUCUCAUUGGUUCUUGUCCUUUAUUACGUCACUAUCCUCGUAGAGUCUCAAUGCAAAGUCAAUUUGAAUAAAAAAUAAAAAAAUGAAUGAUUGCUUAUUAAAAAAAAAUUAAUUCAAUGAAUCUUUUUUUGAUGAAUGAUUCAUCCCUCUCUCCACCUUUCCAUUUAAUCUUUUUUAAAAAUAAUUAUCUUUUACUUUCCAAGCAGAUCAAACGUCAGUUAUAAAACAAUUAAGCUAAUUUGAAUUUAACUAUUGUACGGCAUGCGAUUCAUUAAGUUAAUUGAUUCAAAAAUAAAUUAAAUUUUUAACCUUGUUUUUUUUCAACUUAUUGCAUUUGAUUGUAAAUUUUACACACACUGUAUUUUUUCAUUAAAGUCUUUUUCUCCACUAUCCACCACGAUAUGAAUCGCAAAAUCACAAUUGAAGUCAUGUUUUCUCAACCUGUGACAAUUUUAAUCUUGAUCAAAAGUCACCAACAAGCACACGAAUGAAAAAUUACAUGGAAAUGAUUUGCAUGUGAAAUUUUUUUGCACCUCUCACUCCGCCAAAAAAGGGGGUUUUUAUCUCUCUUUCAUUUGGUUGGGUGGGGUUGGGGGGAAAGUGGGGGAGUAGUCAAUUGAAAGGGAAAACUCUCUAUACAAUUGUGUUGUCACAAAAAUUGGUCAAAUUACAUAAUGAUGGAGGGAAAAAGAGAGCAUAUAGAGAGAAAAAUGACAAAUGGCAGAAAUUUUUCGUGAAUGGAUCGCGUAUAGUUUUGAGUGUCAUGCUAUUUAGUUGGGUGCAGGAAAGUGCUCUGAUUUGGAUCUAAAAUUGCGCCAAGAGGAGAAUAUUUUAUAAUGAAAUGUUGCUGUAUUUUCAGGGGGAGAGAUUUAUAAUUUUUCGAGACUAAAUACGGAAUUUCCCUCAUAAUUCAAAUUUUGGCGCGAGCAACAUUAAAAUGGGAUUUUAGUGCUUAGUUAGAGAAACAGAAAACAUAAGAAAAAAAUAGUUAUGUUGUGCGAGGGAAUAGAUUAUGCGGAUAGAGUGGUAAAUCGUGUUGAUGGGAUUUGUGGUAUUGUACAUUUUCAUUUUCAUUUUAAAAAAAAAAAUGAAAAUUAUAUAUGGUUUGAAACACUUAGGAAGAGACACACAAAAUUGUAGAAUUUCACGUUACAGCAACACCUUUGUUAUUAACAGUAAUUCCAAUGCUUUUUCAUGAUGAUGAUGACGGUGGUUGGGGACCACCGGAAGUAUGUCGCGCUGAAUUACAUGGUGAUUUUGCAAAGUGAAGCGAUGUGCUUUUUUUUUUUCAACUACAAAUUUGUCUUCUGCGUCGCUUCGGGGUGAAGUAAAAGUUGGAAUUUUUGUGGUUAAAAAUUUGUUGAUGGGUGCACCUAAAAAUAACAAUUAUGUAGAUGUGCACGUAUGCUGAGGGCCGGCAUACUUUCAUUUUGCAAACAAUUUCCCCAAGAUUCAUCUUGUUGAUUUUUCUUGCAUCUCUACCUGCUUACUUUUUACUAAAAAAAAAACUCCCAAUCUUUUGAUAUUUUCUUCUUUACAUGAAAAUGGAAAUUUAUUUAACACUUCGUGUGCGCUCUUGUAAACACAUUGGGGCUAUUUUUUGAUUUUGAAGGUAUACGCGAUACUUCCUUUUACAUUAAACAUCCAUUCUGUAUUUCACAAUGAAAGUUACAUGUUUUACAACAUCAAACAAGCAAAGGUAGAGAUCACGAAGAAAAGGGCGUUAAGGUUUUUAUAUUGCAUGUGAGUGUUUUUAAGAUUUCAUAAAUUUUCAUAAAAAUUUAAAGUUUUCGUGAAAAUUUCAAUUAUUGUUUUAGCUUUCGCUAUUUAGAUCGUUUGUUCCAAAGUUUAAUUAAAAGGAUUAUUUCCUUCAAGGUUAGGUAGGCUGUCCCAAGGUUAGACAACUUGUCCCAAAGGUAGAUAAGUUGUCCCAAAGCUCGAUCAACUUUAUCACAAUCAGAUAAUUUUCCUUAUUUUUGUCUAUUUGUCUCAAAAGGAUAUUUAAAUGAGGUAAAAAAUAGAUUAUUCACGUGUCUCAAUAGCGGUUUUGUCUAUGUUUUAUUAUGUGAAUGAAAUAUGCUUUAUGUUGGAAAAACAAUCCUGAGCCUUAAAGAUAGGAUUCUGAGACAAAGAAUUCAACAGUAUUAGUUUAUUUUAUUUUUUUUUUAUUUUCAGAUAUAUUUGUUUAUUAUUUUAAGGGUAAAUUAUUUUAAAAAAAGUUUGAAAAUGGCAUUGUGUGAUCAUCAACAUAUAGUUAAUUUAACUGUCCCAAAAUUUGUUUAAUAAUUGUCCCAAAAUUAUGAUUCAAAGCGUAUUCAUCGAUAACUCUAUAAAUUGAUUCAAACUCUUCUAAAUUCUUUUGCAAUUCAAUUUAAGAUUGGUAGAAUUAAUCAAUUCCAAUUUCACAAUUUUCUUUGAAAAGAAUAUAGAAGAUGCAUUAAAAUUUCCCGGAAAAUUUCAACUUCUUAAAUGAAGAAUAAUAAACAAAUCUUUCUUUUUUUGUGUGAAUACUGCUUGUCUUUCAUGCAAUCGGGGCGCGAAAAUCUCUUUUCACCAUCGUGAUGAAAGUCUUUAUGAACGGCUUUGUUUUUCAAGCAUUUCUUCUUUGGGUGCGCACAUGGUGUAAGGAGUAAAAAUGUAAAUUACACAGAAUAAAUCGUAAAAGUGCGUAACAUGUCAAGUUAUUAAGAUAGUUUUUUUUUUAAUUGUUAGUUUGGUACCUUCUUAUAAAAGCUCUUUCACCUUUUUGUUUGCCUAAAGAAAGACCUUUUUCUCAUUGCAUUUUUAUCUGGUGAGGAAGGAAAAGAAAAAGUAUUUUACGGUGUGGUUACAUUCAAAUAUUGGUCUUUGGCACUUUUUUAUAACGUGAGAGAAAAAACAACACCUCUCAGCAGCAUAAGCAAUGAGACAUGGUGUGUACAUAGCAAUUGUAUUUGAGAUAUCAUGACCUGGAGCACGUGUUUACCUCUGCGAUCAUUCCACAUAGAUCGUGUGUGUGUUUUUCCUGAUUAUGAGGAGAGCUAAAGAGAGUUUGAAUAUAUAUAAAAAAAAGUCCAAUGCAGCAGCAACAAUUCCGCCAAAUUGAGAAUGGAGAGUGAAUUGAAAAUGAAAUGUUUAUCUAUUGAAAAUCACGUACAACAUACAGCAAAGAGGUGGAGAGAAGUCUCAAUGGAAAUCAAUAUAAAGUGUCUAUUGUGUUGGGGAUUUUUAUUCUAACCUUUGUUGCGAUUAGGGGAGGUGCGCGCGGAGUCUAUCACACACACGAUGUAAAAAAAAAUCAUCUCUUUUGUGUUGUGUAAUUUAUCUAUCUAAAGUAUCCUCUCUCAAAUGUGGCGUGUCUGGUGCGAAGUGAAAAGAAUCAAACAAUUGGCAAUUGGUCGACGAAGAAAUGCUUGAAUUUUGUGGGAGAGUCGAGGUGAGAGGUCAUUUAAAUAAUUUACAUUGGACUGUGGGUAAUUGAAGCGUUUUCCUUCACGUCAUUGAUACAGUCACAAGAGCGACGUGAAGGAGGGUUUAGACAAUUUAUUCAUAUACGAUCAUAAUUUAUAAUCCUGUCUGGAUGACACAUCAUUCAAUUUUACUAUUGCAUACAUAUAUAUUAUAUUAUGUUUUAAUGGAGGAAGAAGACUUUCGCAUUUUACACGCAAUCUUCAAACCGUUUUAAUUAAUUUUUUCCACUUGAUUUCUUAUUCGUGCUCUGUGAUAAAAAUCUAUGUAUGAUGCUAAACGUGUACGUAACACUGGAGCUAUAAAAAUUACAUACACGAGGAUUAAUUAAUAUUAUUUAAUUAAAUAAAAUGAUUAAGAGGUACGAAGAAACGGUUUUGCUGAUCUUGCUGAAUAUUCUGAAAAAUAAAUUUUAAAUUUAUUCAAUAAAUUGAAGAAAAAAGGAGGAAAGUCUUCUUUGAUGAUGAAAGUUCUCAAUAGAAUCAAAAACUCUACAAAAUGUUUUUUAUGAUAUAAAAAUUAAAAGAAAAUUAAAUAACAGAGAAUAUUCAUCAAACACGGAAGUACAAAGAGUAGAAAAUAGAAAA
This is a long non-coding RNA of Lutzomyia longipalpis, 28857 nucleotides long. RefSeq lists it as uncharacterized. The transcript has 2 exons. The record is from RefSeq and is a predicted model, not a curated record. Lineage: Eukaryota; Metazoa; Arthropoda; Insecta; Diptera; Psychodidae.